This 254-nucleotide ribosomal RNA is filed under the name uncultured bacterium. RNAcentral's name for it is "partial 16S ribosomal RNA". It matches the Rfam family "Bacterial small subunit ribosomal RNA", at positions 524 to 776 of the family's 1533-position model. The record is from RNAcentral.
UACAGAGGGGGCAAGCGUUAUUCGGAAUUAUUGGGCGUAAAGGGCGCGUAGGCGGCCGUGCAAGUCUUGGGUGAAAUCCCUCGGCUCAACCGAGGAACUGCCUUGGAAACUGCACUGGCUUGAGGCCGGGAGAGGGUGGUGGAAUUCCCAGUGUAGCGGUGAAAUGCGUAGAUAUUGGGAGGAACACCAGUGGCGAAGGCGGCCACCUGGACCGGUCCUGACGCUGAGGCGCGAAAGCGUGGGGAGCAAACAGG